GGAUGUGAGGGUGAUCUGGCUGUGACAUCUGUCACCCCAUUGAUCACCAGGGUUGAUUCGGCUGAUCUGGCUGGCUAGGCGGGUGUCCCCUUCCUCCCUCACCGCUCCAUAUGCAUCCCUCCCGAAGCUGCGCGCUCGGUCGAAGAGGACGACCUUCCCCAAUAGAGGAGGACCGUUCUUAGAUCAAGGGUAUACGAGUAGCUGUGCUCCCCUGCUAGAACCUCCAAGCAAGCUCUCAAGAAAGAGUGCACUUAUCUUGAUAAGCACUGAGUAAUAUAUGGAAACGUUGAAUCACUAUAU
Unclassified non-coding RNA from Ursus americanus (American black bear), 300 nucleotides. Its record names the gene 7SK. It matches the Rfam family "7SK RNA". From Rfam's summary of the family: 7SK was discovered as an abundant small nuclear RNA in the mid-70s but a possible function has only recently been suggested. Two independent studies have found that 7SK RNA binds the CDK9/cyclin T complex (known as elongation factor P-TEFb). P-TEFb activates transcription by phosphorylating the C-terminal domain of RNA polymerase II. The record is from Ensembl. NCBI's taxonomy places the organism in Eukaryota, Metazoa, Chordata, Mammalia, Carnivora, Ursidae.